RNAcentral lists this ribosomal RNA (85 nucleotides) under Veillonella parvula. The record is from RNAcentral. Lineage: Bacteria; Bacillati; Bacillota; Negativicutes; Veillonellales; Veillonellaceae. RNAcentral also lists the same sequence under 4 other names.
UCCCAUCUCGAACACAGUAGUUAAGCUCAUAAACGCCGAAAGUACUUGGCUGGAGACGGCCUGGGAGGAUAGGAAGCCGCUGAUU